UACGUAGGAGGCGAGCGUUGUCCGGAAUCACUGGGCGUAAAGCGCGUGUAGGCGGGCAGGCAAGUCUGCUGUGAAAGCGCCUGGCUUAACCGGGCGAGGUCGGCGGAAACUGCUUACCUGGAGGACGGUAGAGGGGGGUGGAAUUCCGGGUGUAGCGGUGGAAUGCGUAGAGAUCCGGAAGAACACCGGUGGCGAAGGCGGCCUGCUGGGCAGUAGCUGACGCUGAUGCGCGACAGCGUGGGGAGCAAACAGG
Molecule: ribosomal RNA, 253 nt
Filed under: uncultured bacterium
Lineage: Bacteria
Description: partial 16S ribosomal RNA
Rfam family: Bacterial small subunit ribosomal RNA
Source: RNAcentral